UAAAGGUUUGUUUGUAAA
Molecule: microRNA, 18 nt
Filed under: Homo sapiens (human)
Lineage: Eukaryota; Metazoa; Chordata; Mammalia; Primates; Hominidae
Description: hsa-miR-12135
Source: miRBase by way of RNAcentral